GUGGGGAAUAUUGCGCAAUGGGCGAAAGCCUGACGCAGCGACGCCGCGUGAGGGAUGAAGGUUUUCGGAUCGUAAACCUCUGUCAGAAGGGAAGAAACUACGUUGUGCUAAUCAGCAGCGUACUGACGGUACCUUCAAAGGAAGCACCGGCUAACUCCGUGCCAGCAGCCGCGGUAAUACGGAGGGUGCAAGCGUUAAUCGGAAUUACUGGGCGUAAAGCGCACGUAGGCUGUAGUGUAAGUCAGGGGUGAAAUCCCACGGCUCAACCGUGGAACUGCCUUUGAUACUGCACAACUUGAAUCCGGGAGAGGGUGGCGGAAUUCCAGGUGUAGGAGUGAAAUCCGUAGAUAUCUGGAGGAACAUCAGUGGCGAAGGCGGCCACCUGGACCGGUAUUGACGCUGAGGUGCGAAAGCCAGGGGAGCAAACGGGAUUAGAAACCCUAGUAGUCC
RNAcentral lists this ribosomal RNA (450 nucleotides) under uncultured bacterium. RNAcentral describes it as "partial 16S ribosomal RNA". It matches the Rfam family "Bacterial small subunit ribosomal RNA", at positions 354 to 796 of the family's 1533-position model. The record is from RNAcentral.